The sequence is a ribosomal RNA, 2934 nucleotides long. It matches the Rfam family "Bacterial large subunit ribosomal RNA". The record is from Rfam.
GGUUAAGCUAGAAAGAGCGUAUGGUGGAUGCCUUGGUGCUAGGAGCCGAAGAAGGACGGAGCGAACGCCGAAACGCUACGGGGAGUCGUAAGCAGACCUUGAUCCGUAGAUAUCCGAAUGGGGAAACCCUGUAUCCGUAAUGGGAUACAAUCCAUACCUGAACACAUAGGGUAUGAGAAGGCAGACCCGGGGAACUGAAACAUCUAAGUACCCGGAGGAAGAGAAAACAAAACAGUGAUUCCCUAAGUAGUGGCGAGCGAAAGGGGAAGAGCCUAAACCAAAUAUAUGUAAGCCUGCAAGCGUUGUAUAUUUGGGGUAGCGGGGCAUAAGACGGAAGGUUGCAGCCGACCACAGUGACAAAAAAAGGUAUUCGAAAGGUCUGGGAAGGCCUACCGAAGAAAGUGAAAGUCUUGUAGAAGAAACCUUUUGGCGCAUUGCCUAUGACCCCAAGUACUGCGGGACACGAGAAAUCCCGUAGGAAUCAGGGAGGACCAUCUCCUAAGGCUAAAUACUACCUAGCGACCGAUAGUGAACCAGUACCGUGAGGGAAAGGUGAAAAGCACCCCGGAAGGGGAGUGAAAUAGAACCUGAAACCAUAUGCUUACAAGCAGUCGGAGCACUCUAUAUGUGUGACGGCGUGCCUUUUGUAGAAUGAACCGGCGAGUUAUGGUAACGAGCGAGGUUAAAGAGAGAAUCUGGAGCCGAAGCGAAAGCAAGUCUGAACAGGGCGUGCAGUUCGUUGCCAUAGACCCGAAACCGUGUGAUCUACCCAUGGCCAGGAUGAAGUUGCAGUAAAAUGCAAUGGAGGUCCGAACCCACUAAUGUUGAAAAAUUAGGGGAUGAGCUGUGGGUAGGGGUGAAAUGCCAAUCGAACACGGAGAUAGCUGGUUCUCCCCGAAAUAGCUUUAGGGCUAGCCUUAUCGGUCAGUCGUGGAGGUAGAGCACUGAUUGAACUAGGGGCGUGCAAGCGUUACCGAAUUCAGUCAAACUCCGAAUGCCAUAGACUGUAACGAUAGGAGUCAGACUACGAGUGAUAAGAUCCGUGGUCAAAAGGGAAACAGCCCAGACCAUCAGCUAAGGUCCCCAAGUGUGUGUUAAGUGGUAGCUCACUGGUCGAGUGACACUGCGCCGAAAAUGUAACGGGGCUCAAACACACCACCGAAGCUAUGGAUGUAGACACAUUCAUUUUGUUCUUUUAAAUCGUGUAAUGAUUGAGUUACAUUACGCCGAAAUCCACAAUAAGUGGAUCAAGAUUUCGGCUAAAUGCCUCAAGGAUCAAACACGAGACAAAGAAGAGAAUGAAAUGAAUGUGUCUACGUGGUAGGGGAGCGUUCCAAAUGCAUCGAAGCGAUACCGUAAGGAGUCGUGGAGCGUUUGGAAGUGAGAAUGCCGGUAUGAGUAACGAAAAGAUAUGUGAGAAUCAUAUCCGCCGAAAGCCGAAGGGUUCCUGAGGAAGGUUCGUCCUCUCAGGGUAAGUCGGGACCUAAGCCGAGGCCGAAAGGCGUAGGCGAUGGACAACUGGUUGAGAUUCCAGUACCACCUAUAAGCCGUUUGAGUGAUGGGGUCUGUCGAAGCGAGGUAGCGGUCAGGUAGGCAAAUCCGCCUGGCAUAACGCAAAGACGUGAUCGCGAGCGAAAAUAUAAGUAGCGAAGUCCCUGAUUCCAUACUGCCAAGAAAAGCCUCUAGCGAGGAAUAUGGGUGCCCGUACCAAAACCGACACAGGUUGGCAGGGAGAGAAUCCCAAGGCGCGCGAGAGAACUCUCGUUAAGGAACUCGGCAAAAUGACCCCGUAACUUCGGGAGAAGGGGUGCUCUUUGGGGUGAAUAGCCCGGGAGAGCCGCAGUGAAAAGAUCCAAGCGACUGUUUAGCAAAAACACAGGUCUCUGCGAAGCCGCAAGGCGAAGUAUAGGGGCUGACGCCUGCCCGGUGCUGGAAGGUUAAGGGAAGAGGUUAGCCGUAAGGCGAAGCUUUGAACCGAAGCCCCAGUAAACGGCGGCCGUAACUAUAACGGUCCUAAGGUAGCGAAAUUCCUUGUCGGGUAAGUUCCGACCCGCACGAAAGGCGUAACGACUUGGAUACUGUCUCGACGAGAGACUCGGUGAAAUUGUAGUACCAGUGAAGAUGCUGGUUACCCGCGACAAGACGGAAAGACCCCAUGGAGCUUUACUAUAGCUUGAUAUUGAACUUUGGUACCCUAUGUACAGGAUAGGUGGGAGGCUGAGAAGCUAGGGCGCAAGCCUUGGUGGAGCCGCUGGUGGGAUACCACCCUUAGUGUACCGGGGUUCUAACCUACAUCCGUGACCCGGAUGAGGGACAGUGUCAGGUGGGUAGUUUGACUGGGGCGGUCGCCUCCUAAAGAGUAACGGAGGCGCCCAAAGGUUCCCUCAGAAUGGUUGGAAAUCAUUCGAAGAGUGUAAAGGCAGAAGGGAGCUUGACUGCGAGACCUACAAGUCGAGCAGGUACGAAAGUAGGGCUUAGUGAUCCGGCGGUGCCGUAUGGAAGGGCCGUCGCUCAACGGAUAAAAGCUACCCUGGGGAUAACAGGCUUAUCUCCCCCAAGAGUCCACAUCGACGGGGAGGUUUGGCACCUCGAUGUCGGCUCAUCGCAUCCUGGGGCUGAAGUAGGUCCCAAGGGUUGGGCUGUUCGCCCAUUAAAGCGGUACGCGAGCUGGGUUCAGAACGUCGUGAGACAGUUCGGUCCCUAUCUGUCGUGGGCGUAGGAAAUUUGAGAGGAGCUGUCCUUAGUACGAGAGGACCGGGAUGGACAAACCGCUGGUGUACCAGUUGUUCCGCCAGGAGCAUAGCUGGGUAGCCAAGUUUGGAAGGGAUAAGCGCUGAAAGCAUCUAAGCGCAAAGCCCCCCUCAAGAUAAGAUUUCCCAUAGCAUAAGCUAGUAAGACCCCGGACAGAUACUAAUCGGUCGAGGGCUUAACCAA